GCCUUCGUGGUGUAGUGGUCAGCACACUCGGCGCGUAUUCGAGAGGUCCGUGGUUCGAGUCCUGGCGAGGGCA
This 73-nucleotide transfer RNA is filed under the name Stegodyphus mimosarum. It matches the Rfam family "tRNA". Rfam says of the family: Transfer RNA (tRNA) molecules are approximately 80 nucleotides in length. Their secondary structure includes four short double-helical elements and three loops (D, anti-codon, and T loops). Lineage: Eukaryota; Metazoa; Arthropoda; Arachnida; Araneae; Eresidae. The record is from Rfam by way of RNAcentral.